Molecule: ribosomal RNA, 465 nt
Filed under: uncultured bacterium
Lineage: Bacteria
Description: partial 16S ribosomal RNA
Rfam family: Bacterial small subunit ribosomal RNA
Source: RNAcentral
GACGAACGCUGGCGGCGUGCUUAACACAUGCAAGUCGAACGGAAAGGCCCCUUUGGGGGUACUCGAGUGGCGAACGGGUGAGUAACACGUGAGUAACCUGCCCUUGACUUCGGGAUAACUUCAGGAAACUGGGGCUAAUACCGGAUAGGAAUCCUUGCUUCAUGGGGGGGGUUGGAAAGCUUCGGCGGUUUUUGAUGGACUCGCGGCUUAUCAGCUUGUUGGUGGGGUAGUGGCUUACCAAGGCUUUGACGGGUAGCCGGCCUGAGAGGGCGACCGGCCACAUUGGGACUGAGAUAAGGCCCAGACUCCUACGGGAGGCAGCAGUGGGGAAUAUUGAACAAGGGGCGGAAGCCUGAUGCAGCAACGCCGCGUGCGGGAUGACGGCCUUCGGGUUGUAAACCGAUUUCAGCAGGGGCGAAGCUUGUGGUGACGGUACCUGCAGAAGAAGCACCGGCUAACUACGUG